Molecule: long non-coding RNA, 2509 nt
Organism: Dioscorea cayenensis subsp. rotundata (Guinea yam)
Lineage: Eukaryota; Viridiplantae; Streptophyta; Magnoliopsida; Dioscoreales; Dioscoreaceae
Exons: 7
Source: RefSeq, a predicted model, not a curated record
UUCAUUUCUAGGGUUUUCUUUUUCUCUUUGAUCUCGAACUCUCUAAUUUGAUUUCCUUUUUCCUCUCUUCGUCGAUGGUUUCCCUAUCUGUGAAUUUUCAAGGAUGGAGAUCCAGAUGUUUUCUUGUGAUUCCUUUCGGUGGUCCAGCUUUCGGUGUUUUUCGACGGAUCUUUGAUUUCUUGGUUUUCGAUGUAUUGGUGAGAUGAUGAUUUAUAUUUGAUUGGGGAUUCUUUGAUUUCUUAUUCAAAGCGAUGUCUUGAGGAUCCAUCCUUUUCCUGAAUUGAUUUCUUGGUAUGAAGAUCAAUACGAUGGGAUUCUUGAUCUCUUCUUUAGUAGGAUGCGACGAGGAUUUGGGCUCUUUCGUAAAAGAUUGAUUUUUCGAGGACGGAGAUCCAUAUGGAUAGCUUGCGAUUCGUGAUUUGUCAACCUUGUUUUUUAUCCGACUUAAGAUGGAAAGUUUACUUAAUAUCAAGGAUGUCAACAAGAAGCAUUGAAAGUUUUGCUGUAUUGGGAGAUCGCGAGGAAGGGAAGAAGAACAGAUGUAUUUAGAUUUGUUGAUUGUUUGGGUAGUUUUCAAGCGGAUGUAUUGCGUUCUUGGUGUAUAUAUAGAAGCUGGUUUCAUCUCCAUCCAAGAACAGUGAAAAAGGUGAUGCAUAUUUUGUAAUAUGACCUUUGCCAUGAUGGGUGCGCUCGCAUGGCAGGUCGCCAUAUCCUUAAUAAAAGUUUCCUUUUUGUGGUUCUUGAGGGGGAGAUCGCACGGGGAUUUGAUUUGAUUUUAGUUCCCCCGGGUUCUCCCCCUCAUCUUGUGUGCUUCCUCUUUUUCUUUUUCUGUUUUGUGUGUGUCUGUGUGCGCGCGCUCAUGUCUUCACCUAUUACGGCGCUUCAUCGAUCAUGGCGCUUCACUGAUUACGGCACUUCACCUAUUACGGCACGAUUAUUACCUAUAUCUCAUCAUAGUUGCAGGUAAAAACUUCAAUUUUUUCUACAUUGUUUAAGAUGAAUUUUUUUACCAUCAUCCCAUAUUUACAGAAUGCUAAAUUCACAUCCCUGCCACAUUGCUUUAGUUGUGCCGUCUUUCUGUCUGCUUAUAGUCAAAAUUUUGUUUAUAAAUAAAUAUUUAUGCCCAAAUUGUGUGCUGUGUUAAUUUGUUCUGUGAGUCUGCUCAACCAAGAAACGAUAUUAGUUCUUGAAUUUGUUGUUUGAAGUUAAUGUUGAUUUCUUUGGUCUUCUAUUUCAUUAUUUGUUAAAUAUGCAGAAAGGCAAAUAUACCUAUCUUGUAUAGAAAAUUUGUAAAAUUUGUGUUAUAGAUUUGUUUGAAGUUUAGAAGGGCAAGCAUGCUACAAGUUAUUGUGGAUGGUGAAGAGAGCUGGUUCUUGUUUGAAGAAUGCUUGGCGUGAAGAAUAUGGUUUAAAUGUCCUGAUCACGGAUAAGGUCUUCAAGCUUGUUAAGCUCAGUUGUCAAGAUUUGCAUCUUGUUUCAACUUUGUGGAAUUUGUCUUCACUUUUGGCAUCAAGAGUUUACUGGGCUAGUCUUUUCAAAGUAGCUGAGGGGGGCAUGGUUCCCCUGGCCUUUCCUUUAUGGGCGUUGACAAGUUUUUUCAAGCAUCUUCCACUUCAUCCUCAAACUAUGGCUAGCUGUGCCAAUGUAAACUUAUUUAAAAGAUUGUUUUGUUUCAGUAGCUGCCUGGUGGACUCGCGUUGGUGCAUUCUGCUGCAAAUUUGUUUUUAUGUCCCAUGACAUGACUCAUCUAUCAGGAGUCAAAAGUGUUCUUACUAUGCAUUGACUUUCUUGUGAUUCAAUGUUAUAGCGGUUGACUCCAUAACAUGCCCCUUAUGUUAAUGUCAACCAAUGUCAAGUAGGGUUGUUGAUCACCCAGUGUCCAUUGCGUGUGACACUUGAUCACUUCCUCUCAAUCAAGUCAGGUGAUAACACAUCUCUCUUGCUGUCCUAUCCCCUGGGGGAUAGGAAAGGAGUUUUUUCUUUAUGAAGCAAGUGAAUCUUGUCUCAGUGGUCAGGAGUAUUGAUAUAUCUGUGUCUGACUGACAUAGCUGAGGAAGCUCGUUUCUGGUCAAAGAAAGGCAAAUAUUUGAUCUUAGGCUCUGCUUGGGAGGGUGUUUCUUUUGGGGGAUUGAUUUAGAUUUAACUUUCUUCUGAUGGGAAUUGUUUGUUUUGUUGGAGGCCAUUGCUUUAGUUUUAAUUGUUUGCUCUAUUCAUGACACACGCCACUUUAACUGCUUAGUCACCUUAUCUCUUCAUUAGAUUUGGUGAGAGUCAAACAAUCACUGGUUAGCCAAUUGCUUGUUACCAAUCAGUGCACCGGCAAAAUACAAGCCACGCAAGGCCAGGUGGGCGUGUAAUCUAUGUCUCAUCAUCAAUGCCUCUCAUCCUGAUCACAGAUGUCAUCAUGAUUCAAUUAACCCUUUGUUAAUGCCAACCAAUCUCAAAAGUAGGGUUGUGGAUCUCACCCAAAGGGCAUCUCUCUUGCUGUCGUAUCUCCUCAAGGGAUUAG